GCCGAUGUAGCUCAGUGGUAGAGCAGCUCACUCGUAAUGAGCAGGUCAGGGGUUCGAAUCCCCUCGUCGGCU
RNAcentral lists this transfer RNA (72 nucleotides) under Candidatus Dadabacteria bacterium. RNAcentral describes it as "tRNA-Thr". It matches the Rfam family "tRNA". Rfam says of the family: Transfer RNA (tRNA) molecules are approximately 80 nucleotides in length. Their secondary structure includes four short double-helical elements and three loops (D, anti-codon, and T loops). Further hydrogen bonds mediate the characteristic L-shaped molecular structure. tRNAs have two regions of fundamental functional importance: the anti-codon, which is responsible for specific mRNA codon recognition, and the 3' end, to which the tRNAs corresponding amino acid is attached (by aminoacyl-tRNA synthetases). tRNAs cope with the degeneracy of the genetic code in two manners: having more than one tRNA (with a specific anti-codon) for a particular amino acid; and 'wobble' base-pairing, i.e. permitting non-standard base-pairing at the 3rd anti-codon position. The record is from RNAcentral. Lineage: Bacteria; Pseudomonadati; Thermodesulfobacteriota; Candidatus Dadabacteria.